GACGAACGCUGGCGGCGUGCUUAACACAUGCAAGUCGAACGGAAAGGCCCUGCUUUUGUGGGGUGCUCGAGUGGCGAACGGGUGAGUAACACGUGAGUAACCUGCCCUUGACUUUGGGAUAACUUCAGGAAACUGGGGCUAAUACCGGAUAGGAGCUCCUGCUGCAUGGUGGGGGUUGGAAAGUUUCGGCGGUUGGGGAUGGACUCGCGGCUUAUCAGCUUGUUGGUGGGGUAGUGGCUUACCAAGGCUUUGACGGGUAGCCGGCCUGAGAGGGUGACCGGCCACAUUGGGACUGAGAGACGGCCGAGACUCCUACGGGAGGCAGCAGUGGGGAAUAUUGCACAAUGGGCGGAAGCCUGAUGCAGCAACGCCGCGUGCGGGAUGACGGCCUUCGGGUUGUAAACCGCUUUCGCCUGUGACGAAGCGUGAGUGACGGUAAUGGGUAAAGAAGCACCGGCUAACUACG
RNAcentral lists this ribosomal RNA (466 nucleotides) under uncultured bacterium. Its description in RNAcentral is "partial 16S ribosomal RNA". It matches the Rfam family "Bacterial small subunit ribosomal RNA", at positions 28 to 505 of the family's 1533-position model. The record is from RNAcentral.